UGGUGAACCAGCGGAGGGAUCAUUACCAGAGUGCCCUGGGCUCUUCAACCCAUUGUGAACUUACCAAACGUUCCUCGGCGGGCUCAGCGCGCGGUGGCCUCCGGGCCUCCGGGCGUCCGCCGGGGAAAACCAAACCCUGAUUAAUCGUAUUUCUCUGAGGGGCGAAAGCCCGAAAACAAAAUGAAUCAAAACUUUCAACAACGGAUCUCUUGGCUCUGGCAUCGAUGAAGAACGCAGCGAAAUGCGAUAAGUAAUGUGAAUUGCAGAAUUCAGUGAAUCAUCGAAUCUUUGAACGCACAUUGCGCCCGCCGGCACUCCGGCGGGCAUGCCUGUCCGAGCGUCAUUUCAACCCUCAGGCCCACCCUUCCGGGGGAGCGGGCCUGGUGCUGGGGAUCGGCGGCCCUCGGGGCCCCCGUCCCUCAAAUUCAGUGGCGGUCGCGCCGCAGCCUCCCCUGCGUAGUAGCACAACCUCGCACCGGAGAGCGGAACGACCACGCCGUGAAACCCCCAAUUUUCUAAGGUGACCUCGGAU
This 532-nucleotide unclassified non-coding RNA is filed under the name Sarocladium strictum. RNAcentral's name for it is "sequence contains 18S rRNA gene, ITS1, 5.8S rRNA gene, ITS2, 28S rRNA gene". The stretch from base 190 to 343 matches the Rfam family "5.8S ribosomal RNA". The record is from RNAcentral. Lineage: Eukaryota; Fungi; Ascomycota; Sordariomycetes; Hypocreales; Sarocladiaceae.